GUGCCAGCAGCCGCGGUAAGACAGAGGUGGCGAGCGUUGUUCGGAUUUAUUGGGCGUAAAGCGAACGCAGGUGGUUUGGUAAGUCAGAGGUGAAAGACCACAGCUUAACUGUGGCACUGCCUUUGAUACUGCCUUUCUAGAGUGCAUGAGGGGGAAGCGGAAUUCCGAGUGUAGAGGUGAAAUUCGUAGAUAUUCGGAGGAACACCGGUGGCGAAGGCGGCUUCCUGGCAUGUAACUGACACUCAUGUUCGAAAGCGUGGGUAGCAAACAGGAUUAGAAACCCCGGUAGUCC
RNAcentral lists this ribosomal RNA (292 nucleotides) under uncultured bacterium. RNAcentral's name for it is "partial 16S ribosomal RNA". It matches the Rfam family "Bacterial small subunit ribosomal RNA", at positions 505 to 796 of the family's 1533-position model. The record is from RNAcentral.